This 497-nucleotide ribosomal RNA is filed under the name uncultured bacterium. Its description in RNAcentral is "partial 16S ribosomal RNA". It matches the Rfam family "Bacterial small subunit ribosomal RNA", at positions 28 to 507 of the family's 1533-position model. The record is from RNAcentral.
GAUGAACGCUGGCGGCGUGCCUAAUACAUGCAAGUCGAGCGAACGGACGAGAAGCUUGCUUCUCUGAUGUUAGCGGCGGACGGGUGAGUAACACGUGGAUAACCUACCUAUAAGACUGGGAUAACUUCGUGAAACCGGAGCUAAUACUGGAUAAUAUUUUGAACCGCAUAGUGCAAAAGUGAAAGACGGUCUUGCUGUCACUUAUAGAUGGAUCCGCGCUGCAUUAGCUAGUUGGUAAGGUAACGGCUUACCAAGGCAACGAUGCAUAGCCGACCUGAGAGGGUGAUCGGCCACACUGGAACUGAGACACGGUCCAGACUCCUACGGGAGGCAGCAGUAGGGAAUCUUCCGCAAUGGGCGAAAGCCUGACGGAGCAACGCCGCGUGAGUGAUGAAGGUCUUCGGAUCGUAAAACUCUGUUAUUAGGGAAGAACAUAUGUGUAAGUAACUGUGCACAUCUUGACGGUACCUAAUCAGAAAGCCACGGCUAACUACGUG